GAAUGUGCCAGGGUCAAGUCUGUACUGAUUUUCAUGGUGAAUAGAUUACAUGCUUGCAUUCAUGUUCACUUCCGAAGCGCUUAGUGUCUUCCUUCCCUUACUUACAUAUUAACCUCAAAUACCCUAUGCGGCUUUAUCCAAGCUUUACUAGAGGUAGUUAACAAUAUUGGAUUCCC
This is a non-coding RNA of Tinamus guttatus (white-throated tinamou), 176 nucleotides long. The record is from Rfam. NCBI's taxonomy places the organism in Eukaryota, Metazoa, Chordata, Aves, Tinamiformes, Tinamidae.